Molecule: transfer RNA, 72 nt
Filed under: Myoviridae sp. ctaOv25
Lineage: Duplodnaviria; Heunggongvirae; Uroviricota; Caudoviricetes
Description: tRNA-Gln
Rfam family: tRNA
About the family: Transfer RNA (tRNA) molecules are approximately 80 nucleotides in length. Their secondary structure includes four short double-helical elements and three loops (D, anti-codon, and T loops).
Source: RNAcentral
UGGGCUAUCGCCAAGCGGUAAGGCACGGGACUUUGACUCCCGAAGGCAUGGGUUCGAAUCCCAUUAGCCCAG